Octodon degus (degu) is the source of this 103-nucleotide small nuclear RNA. Lineage: Eukaryota; Metazoa; Chordata; Mammalia; Rodentia; Octodontidae. The record is from Ensembl.
UGACUAAUGGGAUCACCACAGUGUACAAAGACCAAUACAGAGAAGGUUAGCAUGGACCCUGUGCAAGGAUGACACGCAAAUUCAUGAAGCGUUCCAUGCUUUA